Molecule: long non-coding RNA, 966 nt
Organism: Siniperca chuatsi (mandarin fish)
Lineage: Eukaryota; Metazoa; Chordata; Actinopteri; Centrarchiformes; Sinipercidae
Exons: 3
Source: RefSeq, a predicted model, not a curated record
CAGUCACUAAUUCUAAUAAUAAAGAAAAGAAAAGAAAAUGAGAAAAUAAAUAAAUAAAUAAAAUAAUUAAGAAAAUAAAAUUAUAUUCUCUCUUUCAAGUUCGUUCUUCUAAGAAGAAAUAGUAACUCUAUCUGAAAUUACGAGCAGGUCUUUCUUAGAUAAAUAAGGAUUGAAAAAGGGGGGAGUACAAGUGAUGUGGAGGGACCAAUUGUAUCAAUUACUUCCUAGGCUGCUCACACACACACACACACACACGGAAAUGACAGCUAACUUACAACUAAGACAAAGGAAACACCAGGCAAAUUCUGCUGUGCUUGCCUUAGGCCCCAAAAUGACUAAAUCCGCCCCUGGGAAGGAGCCCCAGGAGGAGACCUAGAUUAUGUGACUAGUCUUUUUUUCUUUCAAUAUCAAAAUCCAACCAUCAUGAAAUUCCACUGUGAAAAGGCGUCAAUAACGACAACUGAAGUAAGCCUGCCCUUGUUUAACAAAAAACUAUUUCUCAGCGAGGAGGUCUGCAGUUUUUGGAAUUAAAUAUCUGGAACCAGGCUGGGAAGACAUGGGGGAGAAGGAUGUUUGAGCUUUCUUGCUCAGCCCGCUGCCACUGCAACACUGACACAGAUAAGAAGCAGAAAAUGGAUUGUUUGCUGGCAGGUGAUGUGCUGGGAGUGCUGCAGCACCAUCGAUGGUCUGUCCCGAUGCAGUGACAUUUUGAACAUCAACAUACAGUAACAUGCUGUCAUAAUGGCUGUCAUCACCUGAGGCCAGGUCUGGAUAACUGUGGGAGCUCCAGCUGUAGACUCAACUGAACUCAUCUCAUCUCAGACUUCAUACUGACCCCUCCACAGCAGCCACAGCAGUCCCCACACAGCGCUCCCAGCAGGCCGUUCACCACCUGCACAGCACACAGCGCCAUCUGGAUUAAACCCAUUACCAGCAGCACAGAGAACAGAGAGAGAUGCCAGGACA